Molecule: ribosomal RNA, 253 nt
Filed under: uncultured bacterium
Lineage: Bacteria
Description: partial 16S ribosomal RNA
Rfam family: Bacterial small subunit ribosomal RNA
Source: RNAcentral
UACAGGGGGUGCAAACGUUGCUCGGAAUCAUUGGGCGUAAAGCGCACGUAGGCGGUUCGUUAUGUCGGAUGUGAAAGCCCUUGGCUUAACCGAGGAAGUGCAUCCGAAACUGGCGAGCUAGAGUACGAAAGAGGAUCGCGGAAUUCCCGGUGUAGAGGUGAAAUUCGUAGAUAUCGGGAGGAACACCAGUGGCGAAAGCGGCGCACUGGACCACAACUGACGCUGAGGCGCGAAAGCUAGGGGAGCAAACAGG